Molecule: long non-coding RNA, 4582 nt
Organism: Microplitis demolitor
Lineage: Eukaryota; Metazoa; Arthropoda; Insecta; Hymenoptera; Braconidae
Exons: 7
Source: RefSeq, a predicted model, not a curated record
CCAUACACUCCCCAGCGAAAUCAUAAACUGCGGACUGCAGAUGAAAAUGAAAGUAUUAAAAACGUAAAAAAAAAAAAUAACACGUUAAAUAAAUAUAAAAAUCAAAAUUAAAUUAUUAAACAAAGACGCAAAACAAUUUCCUGUGCAUUUAAUUUUAAAAAAAAAAAUUAACAUUUUUAAAUCACGUAAAUCUCCAGUACUUUGCAAUACGUAGCUUUUUUAAAUGGACUCUCAGGAAAAAAAAAUAAAAUAAAUAGAUAACUUUCAAAUCUAUAAGAAAGAGUGAAAAAAUCUCAUCGUUCAACUCUACCAUGUCAGCUGUCGUCUUCUGAACAUGGCACCGGAAGUCAACAAGUUGUUCAUAAUAUGCACACACCCUUAUUUUCUCAUAGCCGUGUGCCGUUUGGAUAUAAACCCUGAUGGCCGAUAACAACCACUACAUACUACUAUACACUAGUAUUUUUCCCUCUUCUCUGCUCAUACCCUCAAAUAGAAAAAAAAAAAAACGAAGUCUAUACUGGUGAUGUAUCCGAUACUACACAAAAGCUGCGAGUGGUUAUUCGUCGUCACUCUGCUCUCUAGUUUUAUUGGAACAUAUAUAUUGAGUAUAUGAGUACAUAUAUGGGCAUCGCAGCAAAGGGAUAUAUAAGGACUGUACUGAUACGAGAAGAAGACUCAACUCGAGAAUUCAAAGCUAUUGAAAUAUCACGAGCUAUAUAUAUGUAAAAAAAAAAAAAAAAAUAAUAAACACGUGAUAGUCUGACAAUAGUUUAAAUUUCUUAUCUGGCUACGGAAAAAGUGUCAUCAAAUAAAAUAAAAAUAAAUGGAAAUAAAAUGAAGAGGAAAAGAAAAGCAGAAUUACUCUCGUUUGCGCUUACGGAGGGUGAAGUAGUGCGAUUAUUUUCUCAGCGAAUGGAUCCUUUUUCAAGUAGACCGGACAUUCCUCGACAAGGCAAUGAGACGAAAUUACUUAAACUAUUACUUGGCUUGGCUCUCUUGUUGAGAUACAGAGGAUAAAAGUCUUUUAACAUUUUUUCAAUUUAAUUCAACGCUUACUCGUUAACCUUUUAACAGGUUCCGGGGAUACAGUUUGAAUGGCUGGACGUGAAUGCUCUUGUUUUAAAUAAAAAGUUUAAUAAAGAUUUUAAAUGAUAUUUUAUUUUAUCGCAACUGUUUAUUUAACUUUUAUUGUUGAUUUUCUAUUCAAUUUUGCCAAUAAAAUAAACUGUUAAAAAUUCAUUUCCAAACAUUGGCUGGCGAAAGAUUUCCUAAUUUAUUUUUAUUUAAUAUGGCUAGUGUAAAUUAUUUAAAACAAUAGCAAAUAAAUGAAUUACUACGGAAUGAAAAAAUAAGUGGUAGUGUAUUGGAAAAAAAUCUAUAUUUCUAUCGCCACAAGAGUAACCCCAGUAAUAAAGAUCGAGUGAGAGUUUGAGGGUUGUCAUGAAGGGAUGGAGCUUUUGAUAUUUAUGCGCUAUAAAAGAGCGUCCAGAAGUGUGGGUUAGACAAGGGCAGUAGUGGAGUCAAGGGUGACGUGACCGGACAUAGUUUUCGGGGGAACACCUCACUUUAUCUUUAACUCCUCCUUCUUUUGCUUUCCUUCUUCACUUUCACAAUAUAUACACUUACUUACUUACUUACUGGUAUAUAAAGCGCCCUGUUACUUGAAACCACGUACGCCGCAAGUGACCGAUUUACUUACACAAUACACGGGUACGCUGCCCUAGAGGGCCAUCAAAUCUCAAAGACGCGUGAUAACUGAGAUCAAAGAUUCAACUUCCAAACCAAGUGCCUGUUAUGAUGGAUAAUGAAUAAAAGUAUCUUCUACCAUCACUACUACUACUACUACUGCUUCUACUACUAGAACUACUACUGCCACUGAGGGUGAGAAAAGUGUCUUUCAAUACUCAAGAUUGUACUGAGAACAUAUAAAAAAUUUAUUUUUAUUUACUCAGUUAGAAGAACAAAAAAUGAAAAUAUCCAAGAAAUUUUUAUUCUUUAAUUUUUUUUUUUUUUUUAUACAAGUUUAUGAAGAAAUAAACAUUUAUGUGAUAAUAUAAAUAUAUAUAUAAAUAAAGUAAUUAAAAUUUUUUAUUUUCAUAGCGGACAUAAAAAAAGUGACGAUUUUUUUUGCUAAAAAUAGGAUUUUUUGGGUUUACAUAUUCACAUAUUUAAUAUAAAAUUAAUUUGUUCAGUGCAGAGGGUUUUUCAAAGAGCAAUGCCACGUAUCAGCCAGUCUUCCAUAAGUCAUAAAAGAUAUUUUUAUAAAAAAAUGAGAAAUCAUACGAUUAUUUUUUUAAUUAAACUAUGUGGGGAAUCCCAUACUAAUAAAUGAAAAAAACACAACACUAAUAUGUUAGUAAUUGCGUUUUUUUUUUAUUAUUCAUUGCCUGCGGCUUAUUUUCUCUCUCACAAAUUAAUAAUAUAACUCAUAAUACACACACAAAUAUAUAAAUUUAUCAUAUAAGAGGAUGUCGGUGUCAACUGCGGCAGAAGCAUUUCAAAAUAAUUGUUUUAAAAAAUAACAGUAGUAAGAUUUUUACUUAUUGAAAAUGCUACUGUUGGUUAUAUUUUAUUUAGUGAUUGUUAGUGACGCACAAGUAAAGUUUAAGGUAGAAAAUGGCUUACAAACUGGAAGUAACUGUUUUAUAGAUGGUGAUUGUUGUUCCAAAUUGUGUUUGAUCAUAAGCAAUACUACUUUCUGUGAGUGCUCGCAACUAGUGAACAAUGUUACGUCAAUAAAAAUCAAUCAUCCAUCGACUUUCGCUCGUGCUAAACUUAAAGAAGAACAAGUCGAAAUAAGACGAUGUAUUCCAGAUAAUCAACAAUGUCUCAAAGAUACUGAUUGUUGCUCUAAUAAGUGUGGACGUGUAACUGGGAAGAAUUUUUAUAGUUGCGGUUUAGAAAAACAGCCUCUUGAGAAAUAUUUGUCACCUUUAAUUAUUAGACGACUAACAUAUUGCCGUUUACCUGGACACUAUUGUAUUGCAGAUGAUGAUUGCUGUUCUAGAAAAUGCGUGGCCAUGCCUACUUCUCCAAAACUUCAUUAUUGCAUUACAGGAUAUAAAUAAAUUCAGCUGUGAAAUACCAGGAACUAUAUAUGGCCUCAAUUGAAAUUUUUAAGCUUUAAAACCAAAAACAAUUUUUUUUAAAUGUUUUUGUUUUUGCGAUAAGUUAAUGUCAAUUAAUAAGUCAAUAUCGUAUUUCUAAUAAAUUUGAAAUCUAAAGACCAACAUAAAAUUUUAUUUUUAUUUUAUAAUUUGUAAAGUUUCAAUGGUUUUCAAUCACAAAAAUUAUGGAAACUUUUUUUCUAUUAUGAUUAAGUAACGCCGGGCAAGAUGGAGCCAUAUUAUAUUUCUUCGUGUGAUGCGAGUAAAAAAAUAUCAUUCAAAAUACAAUUUAAGAAUAAAAGUAUAAAAAAAAAAAUAUCUAUAAAAAAUUUUUAUAAAAACAAAUGUCUUAGGCAUCAAAAUUUUUUUUUCUUGGAAAUUUUUGGGCCCCUAUUGUGUCCGACUUAUUUUUAUCAUACAAAAACAUACAUAUUUAUAGGGAAGUAUAUUGACAGUGUCAUAAGGUCGGAAAAAUAGUAAAGUCUAUAAAGUUAUUAACGGCUCGUAAAAUAUUGCAAAAGCGCAUGCGCGCUCAUCAUAACCUAGAGCUGAAUGGAAUUGAAUGCAUAUUGAAAUACUGUAGUCAAUCUAGUGUUAACUUUUUGUGAAGGUCAUUAAUUGCCUCGAAUCGUUUUCUUUUUUUUUUCGUUUUUUAUCUCUUACGUCACUCGUGUUUAUUUGAACCACAGGUGUACUUACUCAGUACCGAGUAAGGCAGUGAUACUCGAAAAGAAUGAAUUCAAACAGUUAUAAUCAUCCUGUGUAUUCUUAUUUAAAUUAUACAAAGAUGUUACUAUUCGUAGUUUUCAAUUUAUUAAUUAUUAUGGAAAUACAAGCGAGAUGGAUACAAGAAAGCUGUUUACCCGAAGUCAGCAACUGUUCUAGGAAUGCUGAUUGUUGUUCUAACCAGUGUACGCAUACUGCAGACAAUUUGAUGGGUACUUGUGAUUCAGAAACACAGUAUAUAAAUGACAUAUCUAUGAUUAUACCAUUGAGUGUUCAAGUACCGACAUUUUGCAUCUUAUAUGGAAAUUGCACGAAAGAUGAUGAGUGCUGUACUAAAGAAUGUGUUUCACGGGAUAAUACUGUUAUUAAAUACUGUAAGCCGGAAUAUCCCAACAAUUAUAUUGUUUAUGAUUAAUAAAUUCUUAAAGCAGCUUUGUUAAUUCUAUUGUUUGAAAAUAUAUAAAUGUAAAAAAGGUCUAUGUUGUUCUUUGUAAUAAAAAAAAAAAAUUAGGGCUAUUUUAUAUCCAGAAAUUUUAUUUUAUAAAAAAGCUUAUGGGGUCCAUUUUUCCAGCGUGCGCUUUAUGAUAAAUGUAUAAAAAAAUAAAAAAGUAUGAAAGUGGUGUUAUGACACUCUGAGAACAAGUGUGUAAUUAAAAAUAUCACACCUGUCUUCAAAGUGAGAAAAGUUAUUUUUAGUUUUUUAUGUUAUAUCAUUAUUAUUUUAAUUCGAAAUUAAUUUUAAAGAGAAG